CGUUUCCUACGGGUGCCUUCUAAGAAAAAGCGAACCCUCGACAAGUGGGACGGAUGCGCGGGCUGCGUGCCCAGGCGACGGGCCGGUAGCAAACCCUGCCAAGAGUGCUUGACCAUCAGUGCCGCCGUCGAAACCUCCAGGGCGCAACCAGCCUCAACGACGACUAGUAGCAGCCAGAGUAGCGUGGGAUCUCCACCGUGUUCACCGCCGAUCGAGCUGAAGCAUAGACCACCACCACCAGCGCCAUUGUCAUCAAUCCCGCCAAUAUGGUCCCAAGAAACGCUCUUUUAGGAUGCGUUUUUCGUAGUGAGCAUGUCCUUCGACCUGUUUUUACCGAGACACGGAGCUAAAUCCAGAAUGUCGAUAUCCGAGGAAAUCAUUUGCCCAAAAACGUGAACCUCAGUCUUCAUCCAAUUCUUUAACCGCCCUAUCAUACCGCCAGUAAUCUCUCUCUCUUUGGUUCUUUUAUCGUUAUUAAAUAUAUUUUAAGCGUGAAAUCCACCGUAGAAGAUUAAAAUCGUUUAAUCAGCCAAUUUCAAUUAUAAUGUAGCGAUCGUCGAUAUUAAAUUAUUACAAAAAUUUCUGAUGCAGCAAAAUUAAAAACAAGCAUUAUACUAUUGGAAAUGUAAAAAAAAAUAGCAAUGAAGAAGAGAAGCAAGAAAGUUAACCGAUGAAGGGAGGAACGGAGGAGAGGAACAUAAGAUAGACGAGACGGAAGAACGACGGGAAGCAUUUUUGCUCGCGGAGAAAUAUCGGAGAUUUUCGAUAUUACGGCGGCGAGAA
Formica exsecta is the source of this 783-nucleotide long non-coding RNA. RefSeq lists it as uncharacterized. The record is from RefSeq and is a predicted model, not a curated record. NCBI's taxonomy places the organism in Eukaryota, Metazoa, Arthropoda, Insecta, Hymenoptera, Formicidae. The transcript is spliced from 2 exons.